GGCAUAAAUACGUGGCCGCUCAAGCUGCCACGUUGCUAUUCCACGUGCAAGUCAGGCGCACUACGCAAUGGGUGGAUCUGAUAGGCUCAGAGUUCAUUCAAGUUAACCCCUCCCACGAGAUCGGUCGAAGAGGGAACGAAGCCGAGGGCGGAGAGCAACGAUGAGUGCGGCGAAGAAGGCGGCAGAGGUGGCCACGAAGGCCACCGCCAGAUCGAUGAUGGCGAGGCUCCUCGUCGCCGACGAGCGCAUCGGAGCCAAGCUAGGCCGAUUUUUUUUUCCAACCCUUCUCACUUGAUCGAUCGAUCGGUUUUUUUUUCGUAUUUUUUCGCCUUCCUCGAAUGAAUGAAAUGAACGCCUCGUUUUAGAUCUAGGGUUGGCUUGCUUUUGACAUAUCACCUAUGGUGUCUUUUUAAUUCGAUCAGUGGAUGAUUCCUCAGAUUCAAUCGUUCUGUAGAACACCAAUAUUAUCGUUUCCUAUUUUUAGAAAUUAUUGGAUGAAUUGGCUCCAAUGUUCUGUGAUCCCUUUCAUUUUUACAAUACUCCGCGACUACCAUGCCAUUCAACUAGGUAGGCUUUCUUUUGUUUCACGUUCUGGCCAAUUUUGGUCAGUUGUGGCCAGAUUCAACUAGAUUUGGGAAAUUUAACUGGUAUCAGAAGUCUUCUCUUCGGGUUUUAGGAAGUCUUAGAUUCAAGAAAGGUGGUUUUCGUUAGUCUCGGUCACGGAUGACCAAGAUAUUUAUCUAUUGUUUGGAACUUUAGUGUAAUUUUGGAACCAUUUCUUCGGUCUUUAAAAUAUAGGCUGUUUCCUCUUAGAGUUAAAACAAGGGGUUUUUGAGUCAAAUAAUAGCAUUUCUUGUUUAUAUAAACUAUUUGUUCAUGUAGAAUUUGGUAUUUUCGAAGUCUUAUCAGUUUUACAUCAUAACCUAUUGAUAAGUGUGUCUAAAUGGUAAUAGUAGGAAACUUUUAUUUAGGAUGGCAUGCCCCCUUCAGAGACUUGUCCCUGCACCUGUUUUCUAAGCAUUUCCUUGUUCUUCUUCUUCUUCUUCUUCUUUUUAGCAGCUUGUUUCUGUGUACAAGCACCCUAAUGCAUUCAUGCAUGUAGUCCCUCUUCUGACAAAUAAGGUCUUAAUAAUCAUGCACACAUAUAACCUCCUAGAAGUCUUAGAGGAGCAUCGUUAGAUGAAGUAAGGACUGCUUUAAUAUGUUUUAAUUUGCUAUCAUUUGAAAUUAUACAACAAUAAAAUGAAGAGAUGUAUUCUGAAAUACAGAUAAAAUUGCUUCUUAUUCAAGGUUUUAACAGUCAAUUGCCUUGUAGUGUUACAAUGCCUAUCAAGAGUGACACUUCUAGCAUUCAAAAUACAAUUGUUUUUCUUUCUUUUUCUCUUGGUGCAGCUUUGAGAAGAUUGGAAGCAAGUAUGAGUUUGAUUUUAACGGAUUGAAGCUAUAUCGAUAACCAUAGUCUUAUUGUCAAAGUGGGUUCUGUGAUAUGAUCGUAACUAUCAUCUCAAGUUGAUGUGUUAUAUGCAUUUUUUUUUUUGAAAUAUUUGUAUGCAAAUUUAAGUUUUUACAAUUUCUCUUGUAGGUAGUUAUAUAGUUAUCUAUUCGAUAAUUAGUUUGUUAUCAAAUAUGUGAAUAAUGUAUUACAUUUUAAAUUGAUUAGUAUAUUGAUUCUUUAAUAUUUUCAUUGAUUUUCAAUAUCAUUUUAAUUUUUCCCUAAAUUUGAAACUCAGUUGAUAAAUACUGAAAUAAUUCAAUCAGUCAUUCCAAUAAUUUAAAAUACAGUAAAAGUUUGCAAUAUAUGUAGUCUCUUGGCUUUCUUUUUUUUCCUUUUUUUUGAUUUUUUUUUUGACCAACACUCCAAAACUCGGUCCAAAUUUGACUGCCCUAAUCAAAUCUCUAAACUAAGUUUUUAAAUUAUCAUACAUGUCUGCAUAGAUUAAGGUCCCACAAGAACUAGACAUGAAUUGGUUAUGGAUUUGAAAUAGGCCCAAGCUUAAUGCCUAAACUUAAAAUGUGUAAAACUAGAACCUAACUUAUGUAAGUACCAAGAUAGAGUUUAUGGGUCUGGCUUACAAUUCAAGCAAGGUUGCAUUAAAUAAAUGAAGUUGAAAUGAAGUUUUAUUCAGUUGUUUUAAUGUUUUGAAAUUCGUUGCAAGUGGCCACUUAUGUGGCACAUGUGUAUGCAGUCCCCUGGCCACAUAACAUUCCCUAUAUGCAGUUACUAUUUGUGGUUGCAUUGCAUAUAGGCUGAAAUAAUGGUUUGCUUAACACAAAGCAGUCAGAUAUACAGUAGGAUUAGAAUUAUGUGGUUGCAUAUAUGCAACCUAUCUAUCAUCAUGCGACCACAUAUGUGGGUCUUUUAGCAUAUGUGACUGCAUGCUUGGACACUCUUAUGCAAGCCUAUAUCAACAAGGUAGGUUCGAACUAAUUGUUAGGUUUGCUGUGAGUUUCAAAUAGGACAAAGAUAUGUAUAUUAAUACUGUCUAUAUGUUUACUAUGUUAUCAUAUUACUACUAAGAAAUAAACAAUAAUUGCUAGAUCUUAUUGAUAUUGCUAUUAUUUAUUGAAAACAUUAGUUGCAUUGUUUUUAAAGCAAACGUUUCUUUUUUAUGUUAAAUAUUAAAAAUACUAACUGCAUAUGCAGCCCACAUAACUUAUAUGCUCUAUGCGGCCUUUUGACUGCUUGCAUUCUGCAAUCACCUUUUAAAACAUUGAAUUGUUCUAUCCAACUUACUUUAAUUUGGAUCUCUAUUUAGGGCAUGUGGCUGAUCCACAAUUUUGGAUGUUGAGUCAGAGUUGAGUCAAUAACAAUUUGGUAUUUUUAUAAUAAGAUAUAAUAAAUUCAAAGGAAAGAGCUAGCUGUAGCAGCCAGCUAGCAUCAAAUCUUCUCUCUCUCUUCUCCAUCAGUUACUAAAGAGAGAGAAGAAUAUGAUCUCUAAUUCUCUUGAGAAAAGUGCCUUAAAAUCUGAUAAUGGAGUUGUCAAACCAUGAAAUAAAAAAUGGUUCCAUAUCUAUUAUUAAUGACUUCAAAAAAAAAUUGAUGUAUCAUAUGGAAGACAUAUCUUCUUGUUAAAAACUUGUUGCAAUCCUUAAUACAUCCUCCAAUAUCAUAAUAAUGCAAGUGUCUGAUAUGAUCAUAUCCUUAUUCUUUUUUUUGCGGAUCUAAAUUUAUGUUAGCCUCCAAAACAUAUUAUCAUGAUCAUUUUAGGGCAUGCUUGGUUGCACCGAAGUGACUGAAGUGAGAAGUGGCCAUUUUGCCCGAACUAAGUUUUGAGAACUCACUUUUGUCAAAGUGAGACUUUAGGUGUUUGGUUGCAAAGGGGGUGGAGUGGAGGGAGGGUCCAUCAUCGGCGCUGUAGUGGGCAAGGUCGUCAUUGGAGUUGGGGAUAGCAUGGCCUUGGUUGAAGGGGUAGUGGAGGCUAGGGUUAUCUUUGGAGGGGCUGUGGUCGACUUCGGUGUGGUGGGGGAGGAGUCAACUGCUAGAGGGGCAGGGGAGGUCGCGGUAGUCGUUGCACAAG
This 3518-nucleotide long non-coding RNA is filed under the name Elaeis guineensis (African oil palm). RNAcentral describes it as "long non-coding RNA (EGUI_LNC022432)". Lineage: Eukaryota; Viridiplantae; Streptophyta; Magnoliopsida; Arecales; Arecaceae. The record is from RNAcentral.